ACGAAAUUAGCUUCACCUGCGCGUAGGAAGGCAAAAAAUGUGUCUUUUUUUUUCGCAGCCAAACAAAAAAUCAGUUUCACUUACAACCCUCUCGCAUGCGAAGAGCAAGAUCGUCUCCACUAUUGCGAAUCACAGUUGAAAAAGGAAAACGUCGGCGAGUUAACAUGGGUGACAGCGGCCGAAGUUGGAUAAUCAAAAGUAAGAUUACGGUGGACUAUUCACGGUAACGGCGGCGCGAUCUCAUAUCCAAAAAGGAAUGAAUCAAGAUCUUAUUGGAAGGGGUAACUGCCAAAGUUACAAAAGAAGUUUCUGGGCCCGUGCGGGAGGAGGGGGAGAUAAACUGAUGUAUGAUGCAACCGAGGUGUCUAUACUAUAUAAUAAAUGUAAAUAGUAUAGGAAAAGAGGAGAAACUGGUUAACAUACAUGAGGGUUACCUCUUGUGGCAAUGCUUAUGCAACAGAGAGCCUAAAUCAGUACGCCUCACUCACAAAUGAGUCACUUGCAGUUGCAGCCAUAUCGACGUUCACCCCGGCCAACUCCCAUAGUGACAUGUAGGAUGAAACCCUGAUGUUGUUCUUUAUCUACUCAUAUACUACUUAUAUUGACUUGUUGGAUGGAACCCCUAUGUUUUCUGUGUACUUUUACAAUAUUUACUUGCACGCCGUAUCUAAUUUCAGGUUUCUUAUGUAUUCUAUGCAACACAUAUGUACUAUUGUAGUGUCAUCUAUAUAGCAAUUAUUACAACACAC
This is a long non-coding RNA of Brassica rapa (field mustard), 749 nucleotides long. RefSeq lists it as uncharacterized. Lineage: Eukaryota; Viridiplantae; Streptophyta; Magnoliopsida; Brassicales; Brassicaceae. The record is from RefSeq and is a predicted model, not a curated record.